RNAcentral lists this transfer RNA (61 nucleotides) under Cricetulus griseus (Chinese hamster). It matches the Rfam family "tRNA". Rfam says of the family: Transfer RNA (tRNA) molecules are approximately 80 nucleotides in length. Their secondary structure includes four short double-helical elements and three loops (D, anti-codon, and T loops). Lineage: Eukaryota; Metazoa; Chordata; Mammalia; Rodentia; Cricetidae. The record is from Rfam by way of RNAcentral.
UGUGGUAUAGAGCCUUUGCCUAGUAUACAAAAGACCUUGGGUUCAAUUCCCAAUACUAUAA